AGCGUUGUCCGGAAUUACUGGGCGUAAAGAGCUCGUAGGUGGUUUGUCGCGUCGUCUGUGAAAUUCCGGGGCUUAACUCCGGGCGUGCAGGCGAUACGGGCUGACUUGAGUGCUGUAGGGGAGACUGGAAUUCCUGGUGUAGCGGUGAAAUGCGCAGAUAUCAGGAGGAACACCGAUGGCGAAGGCAGGUCUCUGGGCAGUAACUGACGCUGAGGAGCGAAAGCAUGGGGAGCGAACAGGAUUAGAUACCCUGGUAGU
RNAcentral lists this ribosomal RNA (258 nucleotides) under Karenia brevis. Its description in RNAcentral is "partial Bacterial small subunit ribosomal RNA". It matches the Rfam family "Bacterial small subunit ribosomal RNA", at positions 537 to 794 of the family's 1533-position model. The record is from RNAcentral. Lineage: Eukaryota; Dinophyceae; Gymnodiniales; Kareniaceae.